RNAcentral lists this ribosomal RNA (306 nucleotides) under uncultured bacterium. RNAcentral describes it as "bacterial SSU rRNA". It matches the Rfam family "Bacterial small subunit ribosomal RNA", at positions 301 to 627 of the family's 1533-position model. The record is from RNAcentral.
UGACCGGCCACACUGGGACUGAGACACGGCCCAGACUCCUACGGGAGGCAGCAGUGGGGAAUAUUGCACAAUGGGCGAAAGCCUGAUGCAGCCAACGCCGCGUGAGGGAUGACGGCCUGGUUGUAACUCUUUAUAGGGAGAAGCGAAGUGACGGUACCCUGCAGAAAAGCAACCGGCUAACUACGUGCCAGCCAGCCGCGGUAGACGAGGAUGCAAGCGUUAUCCGGAAUGAUUGGGCGUAAAGCGUCCGCAGGUGGCAGUUCAAGUCUGCUGUCAAAGACCGGGGCUUAACUUCGGAAAGGCAGU